Molecule: unclassified non-coding RNA, 27 nt
Filed under: Mus musculus (house mouse)
Lineage: Eukaryota; Metazoa; Chordata; Mammalia; Rodentia; Muridae
Description: piRNA piR-mmu-68313312
Source: RNAcentral
UUUCCUGCCGCUACUCCUCUUGGGUGA